RNAcentral lists this ribosomal RNA (432 nucleotides) under uncultured bacterium. Its description in RNAcentral is "bacterial SSU rRNA". It matches the Rfam family "Bacterial small subunit ribosomal RNA", at positions 29 to 507 of the family's 1533-position model. The record is from RNAcentral.
AACGAACGCUGGCGGCAGGCUUAACACAUGCAAGUCGAGCGCCCCGCAAGGGGAGCGGCAGACGGGUGAGUAACACGUGGGAAUCUACCUAUCUCUAGGGAAUAACUCAGGGAAACUUGUGCUAAUACCCUAUACGCCCUUCGGGGGAAAGAUUUAUCGGAGAUAGAUGAGCCCGCGUUGGAUUAGCUAGUUGGUGAGGUAAGAGCUCACCAAGGCGACGAUCCAUAGCUGGUCUGAGAGGAUGAUCAGCCACACUGGGACUGAGACACGGCCCAGACUCCUACGGGAGGCAGCAGUGGGGAAUAUUGGACAAUGGGCGCAAGCCUGAUCCAGCCAUGCCGCGUGUGUGAUGAAGGCCUUAGGGUUGUAAAGCACUUUCACCGAUGAAGAUAAUGACGGUAGUCGGAGAAGAAGCCCCGGCUAACCUUCGUG